GAUGAAUGCUGGCGGCGUGCCUAACACAUGCAAGUCGAGCGGCAGCGCGAGUAGUUUACUACUUGGCGGCGAGCGGCGGACGGCUGAGUAACGCGUAGGAACGUGCCCCAAAGUGAGGAAUAACUGCCCGAAAGGGUGGCUAAUACCGCAUAUGGUCUUCGGAUUAAAGUCUUCGGACGCUUUGGGAGCGGCCUGCGUCGGAUUAGGUUGUUGGUAGGGUAAUGGCCUACCAAGCCGACGAUCCGUAGCUGGUCUGAGAGGAUGAUCAGCCAGACUGGAACUGAGACACGGUCCAGACUCCUACGGGAGGCAGCAGUGAGGAAUCUUCCACAAUGGGGGCAACCCUGAUGGAGCAACGCCGCGUGCAGGAUGAAGGCCUUCGGGUUGUAAACUGCUUUUAUGAGUGAAGAAUAUGACGGUAACUCAUGAAUAAGCACCGGCUAACUACGUGCCAGCCGCCGCGGUAACAC
RNAcentral lists this ribosomal RNA (470 nucleotides) under uncultured bacterium. RNAcentral's name for it is "bacterial SSU rRNA". It matches the Rfam family "Bacterial small subunit ribosomal RNA", at positions 28 to 526 of the family's 1533-position model. The record is from RNAcentral.